Molecule: unclassified non-coding RNA, 338 nt
Filed under: Bombus terrestris (buff-tailed bumblebee)
Lineage: Eukaryota; Metazoa; Arthropoda; Insecta; Hymenoptera; Apidae
Description: misc RNA ENSBTSG00005032595.1
Source: RNAcentral
AUUUCAUGACUACCAACUACACUAUUUAUUCACAAUCUAGUUUAAGUACAAACAUGGUACAAACCAUAGUGAAAAUAAAUCUGGCAACAAUGCUUUAAUAUAAACAUAACCUCUGCGUAAGGCCUCCCGCGACUUUAUGAAAUAUCCACGAAAAUGUUACGUACUUCAGACGUAAAUAUCUUAAAAUAAUAUGUUGGGAAAGAUGUGGUUAUGGAUGUGAAGGAAGAGGAGGAAAAGGAUGGGUGGAAAGAAUUGAACCCUGGAAGACGCGCUACCUGCGUACAUUAAAUCCCCGUGUUCCAUCUGGUCCAAUAGGCAUACGAAGAACAUUACUUGGU